UGGGGAAUAUUGCACAAUGGGCGCAAGCCUGCUGCAGCGACGCCGCGUGGGGGAUGACGGCCUUCGGGUUGUAAACUCCUUUCGCUAGGGACGAAGCUUUUUGUGACGGUACCUAGAUAAGAAGCACCGGCUAACUACGUGCCAGCAGCCGCGGUAAUACGUAGGGUGCGAGCGUUGUCCGGAAUUACUGGGCGUAAAGGGCUCGUAGGUGGUUUGUCGCGUCGUCUGUGAAAUUCCGGGGCUUAACUCCGGGCGUGCAGGCGAUACGGGCAUAACUUGAGUACUGUAGGGGUAACUGGAAUUCCUGGUGUAGCGGUGAAAUGCGCAGAUAUCAGGAGGAACACCGAUGGCGAAGGCAGGUUACUGGGCAGUUACUGACGCUGAGGAGCGAAAGCAUGGGUAGCGAACAGG
This 411-nucleotide ribosomal RNA is filed under the name Actinomycetes bacterium. RNAcentral describes it as "Actinobacteria bacterium partial 16S ribosomal RNA". It matches the Rfam family "Bacterial small subunit ribosomal RNA", at positions 355 to 776 of the family's 1533-position model. Lineage: Bacteria; Bacillati; Actinomycetota; Actinomycetes. The record is from RNAcentral.